GUUAAGGUGGCAGAGCCCGGUAAUUGCAAAAGACCUAAGCUCUUUCUACAGAGGUUCAAGUCCUCUCCUCAACU
Molecule: transfer RNA, 74 nt
Filed under: Opisthocentrus zonope
Lineage: Eukaryota; Metazoa; Chordata; Actinopteri; Perciformes; Stichaeidae
Description: tRNA-Leu
Rfam family: tRNA
About the family: Transfer RNA (tRNA) molecules are approximately 80 nucleotides in length. Their secondary structure includes four short double-helical elements and three loops (D, anti-codon, and T loops).
Source: RNAcentral